This 473-nucleotide ribosomal RNA is filed under the name uncultured bacterium. RNAcentral's name for it is "SSU rRNA". It matches the Rfam family "Bacterial small subunit ribosomal RNA", at positions 26 to 518 of the family's 1533-position model. The record is from RNAcentral.
AGGACGAACGCUGGCGGCGUGCUUAACACAUGCAAGUCGAGCGGAAAGGCCCUUCGGGGUACUCGAGCGGCGAACGGGUGAGUAACACGUGAGCAACCUGCCCUUAGCUCCGGGAUAGCUCCGGGAAACCGGAAUUAACACCGGAUAUGACCUAGGCCGACAUCGGCUGUGGUGGAAAGUUUUUCGGCUGGGGAUGGACUCGCGGCCUAUCAGCUUGUUGGUGGGGUAAUGGCCUACCAAGGCGACGACGGGUAGCCGGCCUGAGAGGGCGACCGGCCACACUGGGACUGAGACACGGCCCAGACUCCUACGGGAGGCAGCAGUGGGGAAUCUUGCGCAAUGGGCGAAAGCCUGACGCAGCGACGCCGCGUGGGGGAUGAAGGCCUUCGGGUUGUAAACCCUUUCAGCAGGGACGAAGCGAAAGUGACGGUACCUGCAGAAGAAGCGCCGGCUAACUACGUGCCAGCAGCCGC